AUGGAGAACAAGAAGGCAUGUUCUGGAAGGGUUCCAGGAUCCCGUCAACAUUGGCAGAAGGAAGGGCCCAAACUUCUCCCGAGCUGGAUGGAUGAGCAGCCUGGUAGAAUGUCCUACCUGGGUCACAGGAUACAGCAGCAGAAAAAAAUAGCACAUCCAUGGCCUCCUGCUGAUGUAAUGUCACUGGAUCAACAGAGCAGUCAUACUUGCAGGCACACAGGCACAGACCCAGCGUGUGGGGCAAAGGAACCUCGAUUCAGUUCAAGAAGCAAUUAUCGAUCACCUUCCAGCAGAGACUGGACCCUGGGAUACAGAGACAAGCUGGUGAUCUAGCCGAGGCAUGACCCUCAGAACAGAGGUCCACAAACUAUGGUCCAUGUGCCAUGGCUGUCCUGUCUCCUGUUUUUGUACAGCCCAUGAGCUGAGAAUGAUUUUCACAUUCACAAAUAGUUGGGGGAAAAAAAAUCCAAAGAAGAACAUUUGAACGUUUUAUGAAGUUUGAACUUCCAUGUCCAUCGAUAAAGCUUUAUCAGAAUAUGGACCUGCCUAUUCAUUUAUGAAUGUGUCCGCUUUUGCACCACAGCAGCAGAGGUGAGCAGCUUCCUUGGGGGCCGUGUGGCAUGCAAAAGCCCAAAGUAUUUACUACCUGGUGUUUCACAAGAGUUUGCUGACCCCUUCCAUAGAACAACGAAGCAAAGCAAAUACAAAUUCUGAGCUAGAGCCCAGUCUUUUAACAUUCAAAUCUGCGGUGUCCUUUUGCAGUCCUCAAGCCUUUGGGUCUCUGGGUCGCUCAUAUAGACCUGCCUCCCAAGGAUGGCUCCUGGCCUGGGCAGGGUUGACAAACUGCGCAGGAGAGCCUGGGUGCAGGGUGGCCUACGACCUCUCCCUCCAGACCCGAGGGGCUGAGGAGGAAGGCUUGCCCCUUGGGAGACGUGCAGGUGCCUGGUCCAGAGCCCCACAUACCCCAUCCUGCCUGUUGCAUUUGAGCCACUGAGGUUGCCCCACGUCAGCUGGUGGAGGGUUUGCCUGGUGACAGGUCUUCCAUUUAGAUAUAAUCACCUUUUUAUACUCAUGCAGCUUUCUGAAUGCGUCUCCCCACCUGGGGCUUUCCCUGAUGAUUGAAAAGGGCUGAACCAACAAAUGGUAUUAUCUCCUCUGAAUGAUCUCCGUUUAUCACCUGGAGGAGCCCAGAAACUUCCACCUUAGCUUCUCUUUGUUGCAGCAACAGGUGCUCAGGAAGCCGGUGGGGGUGGGCGAGGGGGAGGCCUGCUUUAAACACCGGAACGGAAGGGGCAAGAGGAGGAAGGCUGUGGAAUGCUCUUUGGGGGAGAUCUUUAGACACAGGAUCAGCUUCACUAUUCUGGAGAGAGCUGGCACAGAAUCUUUGCGUGACUCGGGGGGUGGCAGGUGACACCCCAGUCUUGUGAGGUUCUGAAAAAUGUUCUAUGAUGGACCUGAGUGCUUUAGACAAAGUAAGGAUACUAAAGAAUGUUCCUUAAAAAUUUUGAGGAAAAAAGAUUCCAUGGGAAGAUUUGUUUUUCUUUAUAUGUUUCAGUUCUGUAUAAAUAUUGCUGACUUGAGCCCGUUUUGAGACCAUAUUGUCUACCUAGUCCCAUCUGAUGAGAGCCCAAGAGACUCCAUGAUUCCGAAGUGCCAAUUUUUUAUUUUUUUAAUGUUUUUUUAAUAAAAAAUUUUUAAAAAAAAUUUUUAAUAUAAUU
Molecule: long non-coding RNA, 1718 nt
Filed under: Felis catus (domestic cat)
Lineage: Eukaryota; Metazoa; Chordata; Mammalia; Carnivora; Felidae
Description: lncRNA (ENSFCAG00000049426.1)
Source: RNAcentral